RNAcentral lists this long non-coding RNA (2512 nucleotides) under Salmo salar (Atlantic salmon). RNAcentral describes it as "lncRNA (ENSSSAG00000109269.1)". The record is from RNAcentral. Lineage: Eukaryota; Metazoa; Chordata; Actinopteri; Salmoniformes; Salmonidae.
CUCCAGUAUUUAUGCUGCAGUAGUUUAUGUGUCGGGGGGGCUAGGGUCAGUCUGUUACAUCUGGAGUAUUUCUCUUGUCUUAUCCGGUGUCCUGUGUGAAUUUAAAUAUGCUCUCUCUAAUUCUCUCUCUCUCUUUCUCUCUUUCUGUCUUUCUCUCGGAGGACCUGAGCCCUAGGACAUGCCUCAGGACUACCUGGUAUGAUGACUCCUUGCUGUCCCCAGUCCACCUGGCCGUGCUGCUGCUCCAGUUUCAACUGUUCUGCCUGCGGCUAUGGAACCCUGACCUGUUCACCGGACGUGCUUGUUGCACCCUCGACAACUUCUAUGAUUAUUAUUAUUUGACCAUGUUGGUCAUUUAUGAACAUUUUAACAUCUUGACCAUGUUCUGUUAUAAUAUCCACCCUGCACAGCCAGAAGAGGACUGGCCACCCCUCAUAGCCUGGUUCCUCUCUAGGUUUCUUCCUAGGUUUUUGGCCUUUCUAGGGAGUUUUUCCUAGGGAGUUUUUCCUAGCCACCGUGCUUCUUUCACAUGCAUUGCUUGCUGUUUGGGGUUUUAGGCUGGGUUUCUAUACAGCACUUUGACAUAUCAGCUGAUGUACGAAGGGCUAUAUAAAUAAAUUUGAUUUGAUUUGAGUUGUUGUUGCCAUCCUGUACCUGUCCCACAGGUGCUGAGAGAGGCUGGACUGAGGGCUGUAGGCCUGUUGUAAGGCAGGUCCUCACCAGACAUCACCGGCAACAUCGCCUAUGGGUACAAACCCACCAUCGCUGGACCAGACAGGACUGACGACAAGUGCUCUUCACUGAUGAGUCGCGGUUUUGUCUCACCAGGGCUGAUGGUCGGAUUCACGUUUAUCGUCAAAGGAAUCAGCGUUACACCGAGGCCUGUACUCUGGAGCGGGAUUGAGGUGGAGAGUUCAUCAUGGUCUGGAGCGGUGUGUCACAGCAUCAUCGGACUGAGCUUGUUGUCAUUGCAGGCAAUCUCAAAGUUGUGCGUUACAGGCAAGACAUCCUCCUCCCUCAUGUGGUACCCUUCCUGCAGGCUCUUCCUGACAUGACCCUCCAGCAUGACAAUGCCACCAGCCAAGCUGCUCGUUCUGUGUGUGAUUUCUUGCAAGACAGGAAUGUCAGUGUUCUGCCAGGGCCAGCGAAGAGCCCGGAUCUCAAUCCCAUUGAGCACGUCUGGAACCUGUUGGCCCCCCAGAAAUGUCCGGGAACUUGCAGGUGCCUUGGUAGAAGAGUGGGGUAACAGCUCACAGCAAGAACUGGCAAAUACUGACUGUUACAGGCCCCUGCGGAACAGGCCCCUGCGGAACAGGCCCAGGGGCUGGGCAGACACUUUCAUUAUACAAAUAUGGGUUGUUUCCAAAUAUUGACUAAAUGUCUCAUUGUCUCCUUGGUUGCACUUCUGAAUUUUAGAAAAAUCAACCUGUCUUAGUCUUAAUAUCCAGAUUAUUCCAUAGCUUCUUAAAUUAAUCUCAAUACCCUGAAUGAUCCUGGAUCACCUACAUAUGUCAUAUAUAUUCCUGUCCUGUUGGCUUAGAAUAUAUCCUUCUAAAUACUUGACAUAAGUCUACCAUUAUUAAACUUAGUCAACAACAAAAUAUAAUAAUACUAUUAUAUCAAUUCCACAGCCUUGUUGUGUUAAAUCUCUUCCACUGAAUACAACCACAGCUGACUUCCUAAGGGAAAAUACUUAUCUAGAUAAUGUAAAAAAUACCCCUACUACUGGUCAAAAUAUUUUCAAAUAACAUAAUCAGAUCAAAAUGACUAAUCUGAAUUACUCCACCAAGAAAAAUUAUUGUACCAUGAUCCUCAUUCUGUCUUCUCAUUGGUUAAAAUGACCAAUUGUCUAAGAACUUUAACUCCAUCAUAAUUAUCAGUUCUACAAAUUUCCUUAAGGGGCUACAGGUUAGCAAUGAACCCCGAGUCGGGAUUGCUAACAAGGCUGGAAAUUCAAAACAUCAAAAAUCGAAUAAUUUCAAUUUCUCAAACAAUCAACUAUUUUACACAAUUUAAAAGAUAAACAUCUCCUUAAUCUAACCACAUUGUUCGAUUUUCAAAGAGGCUUUACGGCAAAAGCAUAAAGUUAGAUUAUGUUAGGACAGUACAUAGCCACAAAAGUACAAACAUCCAUUUUCAAUUCAAGGUCAGGCGUCACCAAAAGCAGUAACCAGCUAGAAUUAUGCACUAACCUUUGUCAAUCUCCAUCAGAUGACACUCCUAGGACAUUAUGUUAUACAAUACAUGCAUUUUUUGUUCCAUCAAGUUCAUAUUUAUAUCCAAAAACAGCAUUUUACAGUAGCGUGAAAUUCAGAUUUUUUUCUUCUCUGAAAUGCUUCCGGUGAACAUAACAAAAUUACUAUUCGAAAACAUUGGUAAAUUAUAAUAUUGUCAUUCAAAGAAUAAUAUAUUAUCAUCAUGUUGCUAGGGACUCUUUUUGGAAGAAGCUAGCUAGCUAACGAAGAACAACAAAGAAUAUCUAGUUAACAGAAGAAAAGAAAGAGAAAAUCAG